AGCUUUUCAACUUGAGAGUUUGAUCCUGGCUCAGAACGAACGCUGGCGGCAGGCCUAACA
RNAcentral lists this ribosomal RNA (60 nucleotides) under Silicimonas sp. Its description in RNAcentral is "partial 16S ribosomal RNA". Lineage: Bacteria; Pseudomonadati; Pseudomonadota; Alphaproteobacteria; Rhodobacterales; Paracoccaceae. The record is from RNAcentral.